Molecule: long non-coding RNA, 293 nt
Organism: Haliotis rufescens (red abalone)
Lineage: Eukaryota; Metazoa; Mollusca; Gastropoda; Lepetellida; Haliotidae
Exons: 3
Source: RefSeq, a predicted model, not a curated record
GGAUGUUGAGGGGUGCACACGGUAUGGCGAUUUCCUCGAACGUGACACGAUAGGCAAGACUGUUUUGAUGUUACUUUGUAACCCAUGACCGUAGUAGAUAUCAUCAGCGGUUCUUUACAGCCAUGAAGCUGAAGCCGAUAUUUGACAUCCACGUUCUUUUCGUCGCAUGGUUCAUGCAUCUAUCAAACUGUACAUUUCAGUUCCUCUGUCCUGACAUUUCCUUCCUUGGUUCUUCUACACAGUUGAACUGCUCGACUUCCAAACCCUUUACCAAUCUAAUAUAUGAGGGACCU